Molecule: ribosomal RNA, 506 nt
Filed under: uncultured bacterium
Lineage: Bacteria
Description: bacterial SSU rRNA
Rfam family: Bacterial small subunit ribosomal RNA
Source: RNAcentral
CGGCGUGCCUAAUACAUGCAAGUCGAACGGUCUUUCUAUGGAAGCUUGCUUCCAACUGAGAAGAUAGUGGCGAACGGGUGAGUAACACGUGGGUAACCUGCCCAUAAGAGGGGGAUAACAUCCGGAAACGGGUGCUAAUACCGCAUAGUUUUCUUGAUCGCAUGAUCGGGAAAGGAAAGACGGCCUUUGUGCUGUCGCUUAUGGAUGGACCCGCGGCGUAUUAGUUAGUUGGUGAGGUAACGGCUCACCAAGACGAUGAUACGUAGCCGACCUGAGAGGGUGAUCGGCCACAUUGGGACUGAGACACGGCCCAAACUCCUACGGGAGGCAGCAGUAGGGAAUCUUCCGCAAUGGACGAAAGUCUGACGGAGCAACGCCGCGUGAGUGAAAGAAGGUUUUCGGAUCGUAAAACUCUGUUGUCAGAGAAGAACAAGUUGGAGAGUAACUGCUCCAGCCUUGACGGUAUCUGACCAGAAAGCCACGGCUAACUACGUGCCAGCCGCCGC